This 440-nucleotide ribosomal RNA is filed under the name uncultured bacterium. RNAcentral describes it as "partial 16S ribosomal RNA". It matches the Rfam family "Bacterial small subunit ribosomal RNA", at positions 338 to 795 of the family's 1533-position model. The record is from RNAcentral.
CCUACGGGUGGCAGCAGUAGGGAAUCUUCCACAAUGGGCGAAAGCCUGACGCAGCGACGCCGCGUGAGUGAAGAAGGACUUCGGAUCGUAAAACUCUAUUAGUAGGGAAGAAAAUAUCGGUAAGUGACUAAGAAGACCUUGCCAACUACGAGCCAGCAGCCGAGGUAAUACGUAGGGGGAAAGCGUUAUCCGGAUCUACUGGGUGUAAAGGGAGCGUAGACGGUUGCACAAGUCUGGAGUGAAAUGCCGGGGCUUAACCCCGGAUCUGCUUUGGAAACUGUGCAACUAGAGUGCAGAAGAGGUAAGUGGAAUUCCUUGUGUAGCGGUGAAAUGCGUAGAUAUAAGGAGGAACACCAGUGGCGAAGGCGACUUACUGGACUGUAACUGACGUUGAGGUGCGAAAGCGUGGGGAGCAAACAGGAUUAGAUACCCCAGUAGUC